This 4404-nucleotide long non-coding RNA is filed under the name Phoenix dactylifera (date palm). RNAcentral describes it as "long non-coding RNA (PDAC_LNC001428)". Lineage: Eukaryota; Viridiplantae; Streptophyta; Magnoliopsida; Arecales; Arecaceae. The record is from RNAcentral.
AACUUUGUGCUGGAAAUUUAAAUCUAAGAUGAAGUUGUCCUGUACUUAACAGGAAAGGUUUACAUGUUAAAGUGAAAAUGAGGGAAUGUGUGAGGAUGAAUCUCACUGAAAAAUUCUAAAUUCAUCACAUUUUCUUUUCAGUCUGUUUAAAGCCAUGAAAUUUAUGGGUUCUUUCUCCAUGUAUAGAUUUUUAGAAUACUUAAAAUUGCAAAAAUAGGAUGGUAGCAAAAGGAAGGAGGAAUUCUUUUUUCCCAUUAUAGAUGACUUAUGCUUCUUAUGGUUCCAUCAUAGAAUUGAUGAUACUAGCUGUUCUAAAGCUCUUCAAUGUAUCAAUAGACAUUGUUAUUUUAAUGGUUAAAGCUCUUCAAUAAACAAAUUUAUUUUUAUUAUUUGUCUAGUAUUGUAGAAACCAUUGUAUCAUGGAAGCAAUAAUAUCAAAGAAACUCUAUAGCAGAGAAAAUACUUUGCAUUCUUUCUAUUCAUGCCAAUUUUUUUCAAUUACUGCCUGGAUGCUAGGAUUGGUUCAUAUCUCAAGUAUCCAUGUUGCAUAUACAUUCUAUAUUGAGCAAGACUUGCAUCUGAUUCUUUCUUUAUUAUCAGUCAGAUAGUUUGGAGCAACUGAUCUGCAGAUGGCUAGUCAACUUUGACUGGUAAUUCUGCUAGUUAUGAAUUUCUAUUAGAUUUCUCAUUCAUUAAACUUUGUGUUUGGAAAAGAGAGUAGAAAUUACAAUGGAUAUAGUAGAGAAUCUUAAGUUGCAUAGUGAUCUAUUGAUAAAGAAAACUGGGGUACACCCGUGGUGGCAACCCACUUCUUUUUGGAGGGUAUUCCGAGUUCAAAACUCAGGAGGUGUUUUCCCUUGUUUUUGUCUUUGGUAACUUUCACAUCAUUUCUCUGAGAUGAUUGGUGGUGCCCCCGCCAUUAUUCUCAAAGGAGAAAAACAAAGAAAAACGAACACAUUGUUAAAUUUAUUUUCUUCUAUUCCAUUUUCUAUAUUAUGAGUCAUUGUGAUUAGGUUGAAAGCACUUUUCAAAUUAUAUAUCUUACUCUCUCUAUGUUUCAUGUGUGGCUAAUAUAUUGAGACAGUGAGGAUUAUAGUUUUAAAUUUGCCGAAAAUAUCACUAUAUCAAAGCUAUAUAAUAACAUUUUGUUACUUUUACAUAUUAUUAUCCAUGAAUUUAUUGCUCUGCAGCCAGCAUUAUUUUUCUGUUCAUAUGUUAUGCUCAACUUUCAAUUGGUUUUAGAUUUUUGGCUUAUUCUAUAUGCGGAAAUGAGUUCAGCUCUUCUUUACUUGGUGCCUUUUCUUCUUAACAAGACUGCAGAUAACUAUUUUCCAGCUAGACUUAUUGUAGUCCAUUUAUUGAUAAACUUGACACAUAGGCUAACAAUUGUCUGCAGGGUGCUGUAGGUUUGAGGAUGAGAGUCUAUGAUCGUAUAAUAUGCUUCGUGAACUGUCAUUUUGCUGCACAUUUGGAAGCUGUCAGCCGGCGGAAUGCUGACUUUAAUCAUGUUUAUCAAACAAUGGCAUUCAGCCGGCCAUCUGUUGGACCUCAUGGAGCUGCAGGUUUGGUACUGAACUCGUCUGCAGGCUCAUAUCAUACAUGAUUGAUUUACAUAUAAAACAUGUCUAUUCAUGCACUCAGACACAAACUUUGCAGCUUUACGGUAAUAUACUCAUGUUUGUUGCAUGUGGUGCAGCUGGUGCUACGUCUGUUCAAUUGCAUCGUGGAGUAAUUGUAUGUACUAGAUCUUGUAGUUUUUGUAUGAUUCUUUAAAUAAAGAUUCUCUUAAGCUUGUAUGACAAUAGCUAGGUAAUGACAGGCCACAGGAUCUCAAUCUGAUAAUGAAAAACCUGAGUUAUCAGAAGCAGACAUGGUUGUAUUUCUUGGUGAUUUCAAUUAUCGCCUUUUUGGUAUCAGUUAUGAUGAAGCAAGGGACAUGGUUUCACAAAGAUGUUUUGACUGGCUUAGAGAUAAGGAUCAGCUUAGAGCAGAAAUGAAAGCAGGCAAAGUUUUUCAAGGAAUGCGUGAAGGGCAAAUCAAGUUUCCUCCCACAUACAAGUUUGAAAGGCACCAAGCAGGUCUUUCAGGUAAGUCUAUUCAUAAUAUAUUCUUCAUAAAUUAAGGUCUGUUCAUUAUUCAACAUUCACUGAUAUAAAGAAGGUACAUGGGCCUAAAUAAGCUCAUCGAUGCUAUAUAAGUUAUGAAUUCUUUCGAGACACAUAUACAACAGGCAUUGACAUUUAAGUUACAUAUCAAUUGCAUUGAAGGAUAUGAUUCCAGUGAGAAGAAGCGAAUUCCUGCUUGGUGUGACAGAAUACUAUAUCGUGAUAGCCGUUCUAUUUCAGUUGCUGAAUGCUCAUUAGAGUGUCCUAUAGUUUCUUCAAUUACAAUGUAAGUUUAUAUUUUCUAGCAAUAGUUUUAACAUAAAAUGUACACAGAUUGUCAAUUCUUAUGGCAUCUUCAUUUAUCAGGUACGAAGCUUGCAUGGAUGUAACAGACAGUGAUCACAAACCUGUCAGGUGCAUAUUCAGUGUUGAAAUUGCUCAUGUAGAUGAAUUGAUAAGGAGACAAGAAUAUGGUGAAAUAAUUGCAUCAAAUGAGAAAAUAAGGUCUUUACUUGAAGAAUUUUCUGAAGUUCCAGAAACUAUUGUUAGCACAAACAAUAUAAUCCUGCAAAACCAUGAUACUUCCAUCCUUCGAAUCACUAACAAAUGUGAGAAAAACAAAGCUAUCUUUGAAAUCAUUUGUGAAGGCCAGUCCACCAAAAAGGAUGAUGGAAAUUCAUCGAAACUUUCUGCAAGAGCUUCCUUUGGCUUUCCACUAUGGCUUGAGGUAUGCUUUUCUGAUUCAUAAAAUUAAAAUAACUCAAUUCCAUAUCAUGCUUUAUGAAUAUUUAUUUUUGCUCUAAUUCAUUGUUUGGCCUCAAAUACUCACAAUCCAUUAGUAGGAUACUCCUUUUGCACCAUCACAAAGUGGCACCACCAUAUAUUCUACUAGCAGGUUGAAAAAAAAAUCAAAAUGUUAGCUAGUGGAGGAAAUUGGACCUUAUGUAUAAAUGAUCAUAGGGGGUCCUGCAUCACCAAUUCAAUAAUAUAGGCCAUAGUGAUGAGAGUUAAGAAAAAUGAUUGGUGGUUGAAAAAGUGGUUGCUAGGAUGUUCUAGGCUGCUUUCUGGGCCUUAGUUGGCCUCCAUAAACUAUACAUACAACCAAGAAUUUCUAAACCGGCACCGGAGGUCAUAUCGGCCGGCGAUCGGUUCGGCAUGGCAUGGAACUGUAUUGUGCCAUUCUUGGGCGUAUCGAAACAGGAAGUGCUGGAGAGGAAGAGGGAGAGGGAGAAUGAGAGAAAUGAAGAGAGAAAGAGGAAGGGAGAGGGAGAGGAAGGGAGGGAGAGAGAGGAGAGGAAGGGAGGGAGAGGUAGGGGGAGAGAGAGGGGGGAGAGAGCGAGAGGCCGAGAGAGGGAGAGAGAGGGAGAAGCUAUUGUCAUCAUUAGGAAGGAGAGAGUGAGUGAGAGAGAGAGACUUACCUGGGAGGCCUCGUAGGCGGUGGCGGCGGUGGCGAGCCAGUAAAGGAUGGAUGUCAUUAGGGUUUUGAGGGAGGGAGAGAGGCGAAUCCGCAAAUCAAAUGCUAGGUUGUUGGGGCAAGGAUGACUUAUUAGCAAACUGAAUCGCUAUAUCGAACUGUGUCGAUAGCUGAUCGGUCCAGUUCGGUAUGCCCUGUACUAGCCAGUUCGGUAUAGAAUCUUUAGGCACAUAUCUAAUGGAAUGUACAUGAGAAGUCAGAUUUUGCAUCUCAUGAGUAUAAAAAGCCUCUGCCCUUGUCAUGCACAUAAACAUCACAGUAUUUUCUUCAUAGUUGUACCUGUUUGGAAUUGGCCCCUUAAUCAUUUUGAUAUUUAGAUGCCUUUCAGUUUCAUAAAAAGCCUCUUCCCUUGUGAUGAAUAUAAAAAGCCCCUUAAUCAACUAUUCCAAGCCUUCAGCAUCAUCCUAGUAGUUCUUGAAAUUCCACUCAUGCCAUCUAUGAGCUUAAACAAGUUCCUCAAUCUUGGUUAAUUGCUUUUAUUGUGUGGUCCUUGUUGCUGGAUCCAUUCAGGACUACCCUGACCAUGCUCACUACAUCUAACCUAAUUCUUUGGCAUUGCAAUGCAGUUUACUUGACUGGCAUUUAUUGCUAGUAAUGAUGCUUCCAUCAUUACUUGUCUAGGGCAGCAUCACUAGUGUCAAUUUGAGAUGGAGGACCUCUAGAGCUUUUGCUAUUUUUAAGUCUUGAUGUUUCCUUCUCUCUUCUAUGGUGCUUGUAGCAAAACAAGUAUAGUCAUAGGGAAAUAGUUGCAUGCACUUCACUGACAAUUUUGUUUAUUAUGCUCUGGUAGGGAAAUAGCAAAAAUGUUGUAUUAGUACAAUAUGU